Molecule: long non-coding RNA, 1725 nt
Organism: Daucus carota subsp. sativus
Lineage: Eukaryota; Viridiplantae; Streptophyta; Magnoliopsida; Apiales; Apiaceae
Exons: 3
Source: RefSeq, a predicted model, not a curated record
AUUAGUAAUGUUGUAUAAAUAGCAAGGAAAUUAGUCAGUACUUCUUUUAUCAAAACAAAAGCAAUACGGAGGUAUUGGCGAUUUGACCAGAAGAGAAUCAAAUCUGCAAAAUCUAUUUUAAGAAUAUUUAUUGCCUGGAAAGGCGAAGCCUGAUUAUACGUGAUAAAUUGGAAUAUUAUCAAGCUAAGGAUGUCAGUAAAUAGUGAAUAUGGCACAACUCAAGAGAACCGCCCGGAAAUGGGUUUUUGGCAAAGGCAGGGAAAAGGCGCAUCACCCAAGCUGAGACUGCUAGACUACGCUGCUUGUUAGUACGAGCUAUAGUUAUUAUAAUGGCCUAAAAUCAGACUUCCAUUUAUGUAAUAAAGUUGGACUCGGUAGUAAUGUUGUAAGACAAGCGACCCUGGACUUGUGGGGCAAGAGUUGGAUUAUGUAAUAUUAAUAUGUAAUUCAAGUGUUGUUUUGAGCCAGAUGUUUAGUGGCGGACCAGAUCUGCGGGAUGUGGAUCUGGGGGCGUCACACAUACAUAUAUUAUAAUUUAAAUUCAUAAUUAUUAUAUAUAAUAUUAUGUUUAUUUAGACUAAAUGAUGAUUAUUUUAAUAUUUGAAUAAAAAUGAUACUCAAUAUAAAUGGAUCAAUUCGGCUCGUGUUCAAUGUAUCAUAAACUAUUCGGUUAGAAAAUUGAAAAUUGAUACUGAUUCAAAUUUGGUUUAGAUUCGGACUCCAAAUAUACCCUAAAUAAGUUAUAUCCAAAUAAAAUGAUCUGAUACUUAAGCAGAUUCGGAUCCCAAAUACCAUGUACCAAUUUAUAUCCAAAUAAAAUGAUUUGAUACUUAUGUAGGUGGAUAUCCAGUAUCACACAAAUUAUUUUACACUCCUGAUUAGAAAGGACAAAUGUAAUAAGAAGAAUAAGUCAUAAAAAAAAUAUCACUCAUAAAAAUUGGGUACUUUUUACGUUUGAAGAUGCAUGGUUCAUUAUUUUGUUAGAAAAUUAUUUAAAAAUAAAUAAAUUUAUAGGAGUAUAUUUAUAGACUAAAUUGCAUUUUGGGGGACCAAACUAGUUUCUUAGCAGUAAAAUGCCUUUUUCAAGAAAAUUAACACAAAAUGAACGAUCAAUUAAUUAUCAAGCAAUUUAUUGCACUCCGUUAAAUCAGGCAGACAUACGUUACCUUCCUGAAGGCAGAUUGGUUUGUUCAACAAUCGAACGACUAUAUUAUGUGUAUAUAUAAAUGUAUAACCCCCAUGGCCCAUCCCACACUGCCAAACCCUAAUUAUUUAUCUCUCCCAAAUUGAUUACAAUGAAUCAACAAUGUUAGUGCGGAAAUUGGGCUGUCGAGAAGUGUCAUGGACAGAAUACAAUUCGGGACGCAAGUUGUUGAUGUGUGCAACUAGUGCUUGCAGCUUUUUUCGUUGGGGUGAAGGAGAGAUGGAUACAAGAGCCAAGUCCACCAUUAAUGGACUGCUUAGGCGUUCCAAGCUUAAAGACGAUGAACAUUUUGCUGAGUUGAUUCAGGUUUCGAGAUGUGUACGUUGAAGUAGUGAAAAAAGCGAAGGAGGUUGCUCGAAAAUGAAAGAUGUGUUGUGUGUUUUUCUUAUUGUAUAUCUUUCAAUUGUAUCUUUAGCUCUCGUGAAAAGGAAGUUGAACCCUAAGUCUGACUUUAUAUAUGAAUGACUCUGUUUAUGUAUGAUGAAUGAUGUAAUGAAAUGGCCUUUUGUUGCCUUAUGUAA